AGCGUAUAUUAAAGUUGUUGCAGUUAAAAAGCUCGUAGUUGAAUUUCGGGAUCAAUACGUCGGUCGUGCUUCGGUACGUACUGGCGUCAUUGAUUUCUCCCUUCUGACGAACCAUGAUGUCAUUAACUUGGUGUCAUGGGAAAUCAGGACUGUUACUUUGAAAAAAUUAGAGUGUUUAAAGCAGGCUCACGCUUGAAUACAUUAGCAUGGAAUAAUGAAAUAGGACGUUCGAUCCUAUUUUGUUGGUUUUUAGGAUCAACGUAAUGAUUAAUAGGGAUAGUUGGGGGCAUUAGUAUUCAAUUGUCAGAGGUGAAAUUCUUGGAUUUAUUGAAGACUAACUACUGCGAAAGCAUUUGCCAAGGAUGUUUUCAUUAAUCAAGAACGAAAGUUAGGGGAUCGAAGACGAUCAGAUACCGUCGUAGUCUUAACCAUAAACUAUGCCGACUAGGGAUCGGAUGAUGUUAAUUUUUUAAUGACUCAUUC
RNAcentral lists this ribosomal RNA (483 nucleotides) under uncultured Glomeromycotina. Its description in RNAcentral is "SSU rRNA". It matches the Rfam family "Eukaryotic small subunit ribosomal RNA", at positions 596 to 1081 of the family's 1831-position model. The record is from RNAcentral. Lineage: Eukaryota; Fungi; Glomeromycota.